GACGAACGCUGGCGGCGUGCUUAACACAUGCAAGUCGAACGCUGAAGCUCAGCUUUUGUUGGGUGGAUGAGUGGCGAACGGGUGAGUAACACGUGAGUAACCUGCCUCCUUCUUUGGGAUAACGCCCGGAAACGGGUGCUAAUACUGGAUAUUCACUGGUCUUCGCAUGGGGGUUGGUGGAAAGGGUUUUUCUGGUGGGGGAUGGGCUCGCGGCCUAUCAGCUUGUUGGUGGGGUGAUGGCCUACCAAGGCUUUGACGGGUAGCCGGCCUGAGAGGGUGACCGGUCACAUUGGGAAUGAGAUACGGCCCAGACUCCUACGGGAGGCAGCAGUGGGGAAUAUUGCACAAUGGGCGCAAGCCUGAUGCAGCGACGCCGCGUGAGGGAUGGAGGCCUUCGGGUUGUGAACCUCUUUCGCUCAUGGUCAAGCCGCAACAAUGGUUGUGGUGAGGGUAGUGGGUAAAGAAGCGCCGGCUAACUACGUG
RNAcentral lists this ribosomal RNA (483 nucleotides) under uncultured bacterium. Its description in RNAcentral is "partial 16S ribosomal RNA". It matches the Rfam family "Bacterial small subunit ribosomal RNA", at positions 28 to 507 of the family's 1533-position model. The record is from RNAcentral.